Molecule: ribosomal RNA, 253 nt
Filed under: uncultured bacterium
Lineage: Bacteria
Description: partial 16S ribosomal RNA
Rfam family: Bacterial small subunit ribosomal RNA
Source: RNAcentral
GACGGAGGGUGCUAGCGUUGUUCGGAAUCACUGGGCGUAAAGGGCGCGUAGGCGGCGUCACAAGUCGGCUGUGAAAGCCCGGGGCUCAACCCCGGAGGUGCAGCCAAGACUGCGGUGCUGGAGGCCGGAAGAGGAGGGUGGAAUACCCAGUGUAGAGGUGAAAUUCGUAGAUAUUGGGUGGAACACCGGUGGCGAAAGCGGCUCUCUGGUCCGGACCUGACGCUGAGGCGCGAAAGCGUGGGGAGCAAACAGG